This 545-nucleotide ribosomal RNA is filed under the name uncultured bacterium. RNAcentral describes it as "bacterial SSU rRNA". It matches the Rfam family "Bacterial small subunit ribosomal RNA", at positions 777 to 1319 of the family's 1533-position model. The record is from RNAcentral.
AUUAGAUACCCCGGUAGUCCUGGCCGUAAACGAUGGGUACUAGGUGUAGGAGGUAUCGACCCCUUCUGUGCCGGAGUUAACGCAAUAAGUACCCCGCCUGGGGAGUACGACCGCAAGGUUGAAACUCAAAGGAAUUGACGGGGGCCCGCACAAGCGGUGGAGUAUGUGGUUUAAUUCGACGCAACGCGAAGAACCUUACCAGGUCUUGACAUUGAUGGACAGAACUAGAGAUAGUUCCUCUUCUUCGGAAGCCAGAAAACAGGUGGUGCACGGUUGUCGUCAGCUCGUGUCGUGAGAUGUUGGGUUAAGUCCCGCAACGAGCGCAACCCCUAUCUUAUGUUGCCAGCGCGUAAAGGUGGGAACUCAUGAGAGACUGCCGCAGACAAUGCGGAGGAAGGCGGGGAUGACGUCAAAUCAUCAUGCCCCUUAUGACCUGGGCUACACACGUACUACAAUGGGAGUUAAUAGACGGAAGCGAGAUCGCGAGAUGGAGCAAACCCGAGAAACACUCUCUCAGUUCGGAUCGUAGGCUGCAACUCGCCUAC